CCGGCGAUUUCCGAAUGGGGAAACCCAGUGUGUUUCGACACACUAUCAUUAACUGAAUCCAUAGGUUAAUGAGGCGAACCGGGGGAACUGAAACAUCUAAGUACCCCGAGGAAAAGAAAUCAACCGAGAUUCCCCCAGUAGCGGCGAGCGAACGGGGAGGAGCCCAGAGCCUGAAUCAGUGUGUGUGUUAGUGGAAGCGUCUGGAAAGGCGCGCGAUACAGGGUGACAGCCCCGUACACAAAAAUGCACAUAUUGUGAGCUCGAUGAGUAGGGCGGGACACGUGGUAUCCUGUCUGAAUAUGGGGGGACCAUCCUCCAAGGCUAAAUACUCCUGACUGACCGAUAGUGAACCAGUACCGUGAGGGAAAGGCGAAAAGAACCCCGGCGAGGGGAGUGAAAAAGAACCUGAAACCGUGUACGUACAAGCAGUGGGAGCCUCUUAAUGGGGUGACUGCGUACCUUUUGUAUAAUGGGUCAGCGACUUAUAUUCUGUAGCAAGGUUAACCGAAUAGGGGAGCCGAAGGGAAACCGAGUCUUAACUGGGCGUUAAGUUGCAGGGUAUAGACCCGAAACCCGGUGAUCUAGCCAUGGGCAGGUUGAAGGUUGGGUAACACUAACUGGAGGACCGAACCGACUAAUGUUGAAAAAUUAGCGGAUGACUUGUGGCUGGGGGUGAAAGGCCAAUCAAACCGGGAGAUAGCUGGUUCUCCCCGAAAGCUAUUUAGGUAGCGCCUCGUGAAUUCAUCUCCGGGGGUAGAGCACUGUUUCGGCAAGGGGGUCAUCCCGACUUACCAACCCGAUGCAAACUGCGAAUACCGGAGAAUGUUAUCACGGGAGACACACGGCGGGUGCUAACGUCCGUCGUGAAGAGGGAAACAACCCAGACCGCCAGCUAAGGUCCCAAAGUCAUGGUUAAGUGGGAAACGAUGUGGGAAGGCCCAGACAGCCAGGAUGUUGGCUUAGAAGCAGCCAUCAUUUAAAGAAAGCGUAAUAGCUCACUGGUCGAGUCGGCCUGCGCGGAAGAUGUAACGGGGCUAAACCAUGCACCGAAGCUGCGGCAGCGACACUAUGUGUUGUUGGGUAGGGGAGCG
Molecule: ribosomal RNA, 1091 nt
Filed under: Escherichia coli
Lineage: Bacteria; Pseudomonadati; Pseudomonadota; Gammaproteobacteria; Enterobacterales; Enterobacteriaceae
Also listed under: 1 other name
Description: partial 23S ribosomal RNA
Rfam family: Bacterial large subunit ribosomal RNA
Source: RNAcentral